GAUUCUGAUCUCUGAAGCUGAGAGCGGUGACUUGUUUGCUGAAGUCUUUGAACAACCACCCCAAAGGUAUUCUCAGAUGCAAAUGGUUCUUGUCGCGAGUUCGAAACACCUGCUUACAGAAAAUUAAGCUGCAAAUUAUGGAAACGCUUGUUCAGUUUGUAGAGGGUGCCGUGUCACAAGUUCGGAACACUUGUUUAAGAAUAUAGAGUCGGAAAUUACCAGAAACGUUUGUUUGAUUAGUAGAGGAUGUCUUGUCAUGGGUUCGAAACAUCUGCUUAAGAAAAUCAAGCUGGAAAUUAUUGGAAAUGCUUGUUCAAUUAGUAGAGGGUGCCGUGUCACGAGUUCAAAACAUUUGUUAAGAAAACAAAGCUUUAAACCGCUUGUUUGGUUAGUAGAGGAUGUCUUGUCACGAGUUCGAAACAUCUACAAAAAUCAAGUGGUCUAAGUAUUCGGUCCGUCCACUUCUGAAUCCGGACAUUGACUAUACAAAAUAUAUAAUAAAAAGAAAUUGAUAUACCUAAUUUGCUAUAUAUCUAUUUUUUAUAAUAAUACACAUUCUGCGAUGGAUAUAUGUUUGUUUCAAUCCUUGCAUCUUGACUUGCUUGCUCCUAUAAAAUGAUAUGCUUUUCAUUUUGAUUACCAUAAAUUGAUAUUUUGAUUUUUAUAAGGGUUUUCUAGAAAAUAGUGUUGAAGUGCAUUUAUCAUGUUUCCUUCAAUGCAGAUGUUGAUGUUCUGAUGGAGAGAUAUAAUUUGCUUACAAUCAUUUGACAUAAGAGAUUGAACUUUGGUUAGCUUGCCAACCUACCCAACCAAGAGGUUCCUCUUAUGGAUGCAUGCAAUUCUAUCUUUUGCCUUCACUGGCUUAUAUA
This 869-nucleotide long non-coding RNA is filed under the name Setaria viridis. RNAcentral's name for it is "long non-coding RNA (SVIR_LNC002311)". The record is from RNAcentral. Lineage: Eukaryota; Viridiplantae; Streptophyta; Magnoliopsida; Poales; Poaceae.